Prionailurus viverrinus (fishing cat) is the source of this 619-nucleotide long non-coding RNA. RefSeq lists it as uncharacterized. NCBI's taxonomy places the organism in Eukaryota, Metazoa, Chordata, Mammalia, Carnivora, Felidae. The transcript is spliced from 3 exons. The record is from RefSeq and is a predicted model, not a curated record.
UCAGGCAGGUGCAUUGUACUCAGCAGUGGAAUGAAGGGCUUAACAUCGUAUGCAAAAAGGAAGCCCCUCUUAGGUUUUCACCAGGAUUAAAUGGAAUUAGCUUUGUAGUUUUGAUAAUCUUCUUCACAAAAGAAUGCAAUUUCAGUUUCAUUGGCGAUUCUAGCUGCUUUUAGAGUCCUGUCUGCUUUCAAACAGGAAUCUGUCAUCUUCUCCCAAACUCCACAUGAGUUCACUCGUCUGGUUUGUAAGCUUGCCGUCCUGCAGGGCAGAUAACACGUCAGCUCCACUCUCCAGAGGAGGGUGCGGAAACCGGAGAGAUCGCUCAAGGCCACGGAAUGAACCAGUAAACUGCCACACUGGGACCAGCACCAAAGUUUGGUUUCCCAGGGUACUCAAGUGCUUCUCAAUCUUCACAAUGACCUGGGGGUACUUGAGACCACGUGGAGACAGAGAGGUCCCAGGAGCCCCAGCCCUGCCAGCUGCCAGCUGUUGGAGUCCUGCAGCCUGGGCACCAGUCGCAUGAGUGAGCCAGCCUUCUGAUGACUCCGGCUCUAGCCAUUAUCAGCCUGCAACUACAUGACAGAUACAAAUGCCAACCACCUUGCCGAGGCCAGCAAAC